GACGUAGGGGGCGAGCGUUGUCCGGAUUUAUUGGGCGUAAAGCGCGCGUAGGCGGCCUGUUAAGUCGGGUGUGAAAACCCGGGGCUCAACCCCGGGCCUGCAUUCGAUACUGGCAGGCUAGAGGCAGGCAGGGGAGAUCGGAAUUCCUGGUGUAGCGGUGAAAUGCGCAGAUAUCAGGAGGAACACCAGUGGCGAAGGCGGAUCUCUGGGCCGAUACUGACGCUGAGGAGCGAAAGCGUGGGGAGCGAACAGG
Molecule: ribosomal RNA, 253 nt
Filed under: uncultured bacterium
Lineage: Bacteria
Description: partial 16S ribosomal RNA
Rfam family: Bacterial small subunit ribosomal RNA
Source: RNAcentral